Molecule: long non-coding RNA, 2072 nt
Organism: Brassica napus (rape)
Lineage: Eukaryota; Viridiplantae; Streptophyta; Magnoliopsida; Brassicales; Brassicaceae
Exons: 2
Source: RefSeq, a predicted model, not a curated record
GUUGAAUGAAUAUCAUUGAAUAAAGAAAAUGUCGAUGCUCCUGAAGAUUUGGAGGAGCAUCCUAAUGAUGAGGAAGAGGUGGAGGGAAUUGAUCUGCACCAGCAACGUUACCCGUGGGAGGGAAGUGACAUGGAUUACUUAUACGACGAGGUAAGCAUAUCAUUAGAUGGUUUGCGGUCCAUCUUUGAGAGCCGUCGAUUGUAAGUGUCUAUCGUUUUGAAGUUGUACGACACUAAGAUGUAAAGAAUUACUAAUCACGAUUACCUUACUAGCAGAGUUCUUUUGCACAGCUAUUGUCAAUGGAAUUAACACUGGAAAUUGAUGGUGCUAUAUUUCAUGUUCCAAAUGCUAACGCAAGCUCCAAUGUUGAUUCUCAGCUUUAACAUGCCAAAAUCACAAUGCAGUGGGUGUUGUAAAGUAAUUCAGUAGGCACAAAUGUUCAGUUGAAAAAAAUUCUAAACUGUAUUUAUGCAUCAAACUUAUCAUCCGUAACAUAAUAAUAUGCUUUUUCUGUGCUAGGAACCGUUUGUAAAUAAAUGUCUCGGAUGUAUAUGACUGCUUAGUUUGUUGCUUUUGACAGUGAAAUCACUAAACUUGCAAUGUGUCAGGACAGCAAAAGCAUCUCAGCUGAUGGUUAACUUUACAAUUUCGUUGGUUUCUUUUUCAUAUUAUGUUGGAUGGAUUAUUUUAGCUAACAAAUAUCGCAACAGAGCGCUGACAAUAACUCUAAUAGAUUUAUAUAUACAUUUAGAAUUAAAAGUUUGGUGAGAACAGGAACAAGUACUUCUGUCACGCUAUUGAACAGUUAUACGCCAUUUCAAGAGAAUUGAUUUCUUAUAUUUCUCAUAAUCAGUAAGAUUUUAACUGUUUUGUCUACUUUGCAUUCAUACUUCAUUCUCCAUCUAACUUCUCGGUGCUACUAUAUAAUGAUCAAGUCAUUUUCUGCACAAAUAGGCAAGUGGGGAUGUUACGUUGGGUGCUUGGUUUAUUUGGCUUGGCUAUACAAAGUCUGUUGUGACUCUAAAACUUUUACCUCAUUUAACAUUGAUUCUGGUUCUUGGAUGAAUUGCAGAUUGUGAAUGAAAGGCACAAGCAGGAAACAUAUGUGUAGCUGCGUUCGACUCGACAUGUAGCGGUAUCUGCAGAUCCGCUGAUCCCAUUGUGGAGGUUAACAUGCAAUGUGUUGACCUGGAAAUCAUUAUUUGAAAGCUACAUUUCGAGGCAUUUCCUCAACAUAUAAAUAGACCAUAGACAGAGUUUGAUAUUUAUAAUACUCAGUGAUCAUGGAGUCUGCAGAAAACAGUUCUUUUGCAUAUUCUAUAUGGAACCAAGAGAUAUGUCCUUUAUUUGAUGAUUGUAUUAUGAUAGCUACUAACAUAGGAGAUGACUAGAGAAAGAGAAAUGAGUAUGAAAAUCUUAUAUGGGUAGCUUUUGUAAACACAUUUGGGUUUAUUAACAGUUGUGACAAGCAAUUAUGUUUAUAGUAAAGGAAACCCGCCGCAGCGUCAAUAACAAAUGCGCCUGUUUUUUGGUUGUUUGGGAUUGAAAUAGCUUAUGGGUUUUCUGAAUCAAUAUAAUUGAUUUGACUAAAGCUAUCUUGGAUGACAAAAAGAAGGAUUGCAAGUUUAAUAACUUCUACUUUAAACUUUAAUUUCAACUAAAUUAUAAUCAAUCUUUUAUCCAUAUCAUCUUAGUUAUAAUCGUAAGGAUUUAUUAGAAUAAAUAAAUAGUUUCAACAAUAUUUAAUAUGUGAUUUAAUAAACAAAAGAACAUGUAGGAUUUUUAGGAUUUAAAGAGAUUGGAGACAAUAGUUAAUGAAUAUGAAAAGAAUACGAAGCAGAUGAUGAAAAAUGAUUCAAGCAAAUUAGUGGCAACACAGAGCUAAGGGAGAUAAAAAUAUCAAUCAAUAAAGAAUAAAAGAAGAAUGAGCAGGGUUAAGUUAUUACACAAGCCAAAACUAAGACAAAUCAAACGACAGAACGUGAAAACAAAUGUAAACAAGACAAAAGGAGAUGAUGAAGAUAAAAUGCAUUGAAAAACUGAAUGCUAGAUUAGUAAGCAAGAGACAAAAA